GCAGUGAGGAAUAUUGGACAAUGGGUGAGAGCCUGAUCCAGCCAUCCCGCGUGAAGGACGACGGCCCUAUGGGUUGUAAACUUCUUUUGUAUAGGGAUAAACCUACCCUCGUGAGGGUAGCUGAAGGUACUAUACGAAUAAGCA
Molecule: ribosomal RNA, 144 nt
Filed under: Chryseobacterium sp. SP8
Lineage: Bacteria; Pseudomonadati; Bacteroidota; Flavobacteriia; Flavobacteriales; Weeksellaceae
Description: partial 16S ribosomal RNA
Rfam family: Bacterial small subunit ribosomal RNA
Source: RNAcentral